AAAGAAAGAAAGAAAGAAACUUUUAGGGUAA
Molecule: non-coding RNA, 31 nt
Filed under: Mus musculus (house mouse)
Lineage: Eukaryota; Metazoa; Chordata; Mammalia; Rodentia; Muridae
Source: RNAcentral